CGGACGGGUGAGUAACGCGUAGGAACCUGACGCGCAGUGGGGGAUAACGCUGGGAAACCGGCGCUAAUACCGCAUGUGGUCGGCAACGAAGAAAGCAGCAAUGCGCUGUGUGAGGGGCCUGCGUCCGAUUAGCUAGUUGGUGGGGUAAAGGCGUACCAAGGCACCGAUCGGUAGCUGGUCUGAGAGGAUGAUCAGCCACACUGGGACUGAGACACGGCCCAG
This 222-nucleotide ribosomal RNA is filed under the name uncultured bacterium. RNAcentral describes it as "partial 16S ribosomal RNA". It matches the Rfam family "Bacterial small subunit ribosomal RNA", at positions 99 to 334 of the family's 1533-position model. The record is from RNAcentral.